AGAGCUGGACCCAGAAGCAGAGCUGAACCUGAACCAUGAACUAGUCUGUGUCCAGACUCCACAGACCACCCGGCUUCACUUCAACUAUAAACAUCCCAUUCUUGUCUCUCCACCAGCAAUGAGUUAAUCUCCUUUCAACCAACACCUGUCCAGGAAAAUCAAGGAGCUGGAGAAAGGGGUGUAGCAAAGACCAGAGGAAAUAACAGAAUGUGGUUGAUUGAAAAAGGCAUGAAACCAAACCAAGAACCACACUGCGGGUAGAGACCGUUACAGAAAACCAUAGCUGGUCAAAGGACAGAGAACAGCUUACCAUCUACAAUGGAUUCAUCACAACACAGUUAGGUCCUCAACGCCUACACCUGGGUUUUGGGAGCAUCAGGGAAGAAGAGCCUGACAGCCAAAUGACCAGGAAAUCUACUGUGAGACUCUGUCUCCUAGAAAUGACAGAGAAGCUUGACACCUCAACAAUGUGGCUGCCUGAGCAUUUGCAAUUCUAACUCCCCUGGUGGCUUCUGUGGAUGUCCAUCCUGGCGAAAGCUAAGCGUAGGAAGUCCAGCUCUACUGAGAGUCUAGCUAUUCUCACUAGAGGAGUUCCAUGCAAAGACAGAAGAGACUUCCACCUCAUCCCCCAAUGAGUACCCAGCUUCUGAAUCAAGUCCACAGGGAUUCCCCAAACCAGUCCUUCUGAGUUCCUUGUUAUAUGAUGGGUAAAACAAAAUAGUUACUCUGCCUUUUCUAUGCUCAGUGUCCUGGUGAGCAGAAAUCAUAAGAAUGAUGGUUAUUUUUCAAUACCGUGAUAUUAGUAGUACAAUUUGAUGCACACCACUGAC
This 830-nucleotide small RNA is filed under the name Rattus norvegicus (Norway rat). RNAcentral's name for it is "uncharacterized LOC102552132". Lineage: Eukaryota; Metazoa; Chordata; Mammalia; Rodentia; Muridae. The record is from RNAcentral.